This 130-nucleotide ribosomal RNA is filed under the name Olea europaea subsp. europaea. Its description in RNAcentral is "SSU_rRNA_bacteria". The record is from RNAcentral. Lineage: Eukaryota; Viridiplantae; Streptophyta; Magnoliopsida; Lamiales; Oleaceae.
AUAGUGAUUUCAUUAUGGGAGCUGGUUAUGCUUGAAGCUAUCACAUCAAUCACUAGGAGAGGGAUGUUGAAGAUAAGACUAGUGAUUGGAGUGAAGUCAAACAAUGUAAUUGUACUAGAAAGUGAGAUUU